AUAUCAUCUGAAUACGGCUCGAAACAAUCGUGAAAUAUUGCCCCAGUAACUUCGCUCGGUUGUGUGUGUUUCCGUGUUUUGUCUCCCGCGUGUUUUCAUUGGCCAAUGUCCGGGCGACGUCGCGGACGGAGGACGCAGCCAAUAUGGCGACCGCUUGGAUGUCGUAGAAUGAGACUUCUGCAAAUUGGCACAUGGAUGACGCGCUUCCCGCUCGCAUUUAUUUUUUCGUGGGAGCUUUUGGUGUAAACCUUAUUGCAGCCCUCAAAGUCGCAGCGGUGGAUUCUUCGCUUUUUGGAAUCGGGCGACUCCGACCUCCGGGGACGUCGUAUGCUGUCAAUGCUGAAAGGCGACAUUGAACUGCAACACAAGAGAAGAUGAGACUUGAUCCAGGAAGACGGCAGCAGGAAAAACAAACUUGUUGCGUGAAAAUGAAACCAGGGUUGCAGUGGAGCGGCGAAGAAGAGAAGGCGAGAGGAUAAAUUCAUCGAGAAAAACAAAAGGUUUCAGCCUUUUUCACAGGAAACAGCGAGAACCGAGCGCUCUUGCCAAUUGACCCCUCCGUACGGGGCACUUAACCACGCCCCCGGAAGUGACGUCACGUCACUCCACGUGCGCUGACGUAGGACAAACAGUAAAAAUGGCCAAUACAAUACAUUCUGAACUGAGACAGACUCCAUGCUUCUGAUUUCAUUCAAUCGUUCACACGUAGCAGUGUUAUGCUAGCGGAGAACGUCUCAUUCAUUUAUACGAGACGUGUAUUAAAAAUCAAAUUUAGGGCAUAUCUUGGUGCAAACACAUUCUGGUUAAGCUUCGGCCGCGAGCCAGCAAGAAAGCGACACGUUUGUGCAGUCCGAUCAUCGCUAAAUAUCGCUCAACAAAGAAUAAGUGUGGCAAUCGUUCACACGUAGCAGUGUUAUGCUAGCGGAGAACGUCUCAUUCAUUUAUACGAGACGUGUAUUAAAAAUCAAAUAUAGGGCAUACCUUGGUGCAAACAUAUCAGUUCCGGUUGAUAUUAGAUGGAUUUAGUUGAUGAUGCGGUCUUCCACAAAGUUUGAUCCAUCGAAGGCAUUUUUCGAACCGGGUCUUCGGUUUUGGAAAGGGUAGGAAUCGAACUCCACCAACUCGCCUUUCAGGAUACCCGUCGUCACUAUUACAAAGUCCGUGACUACACCUCUUAAUCAUAUUUUUUGUUAAAUAACCCAAAUACGCGAUAAAACGCUAACUAAACCUAUACUGGACCAUGCAAUGUUGUCUGAGAAAAUGGCGGGAGCAAAAACCGGCUUUGGUUGAUGCGGAUCUCUGGCCUCUGAUUGGUCAGUGACGCGGAUUGCGCAAUGUCCACGGAGGGGUCAAUUGCUGUCAGUGUCAGCUGAGGACGAUGCGGUACGCAUCAAGUUCCGUGACGCUUUGUAAACUAUGUUAAAUGUUAAUCAAUGCUUUGAUCAAAAGUUAAAGAUGAUAUGAUUGAUCUUCAUUUUAAGGAAGCAGAAGAACUUUCUCACAUUCACAUCUUUGCAGCACACCGAUGUGGACGGGUCCCACGACUGUGUUUGGGCCCGGACCACAAAAUGACAAAAUAUGCUUUUCUAUGU
Long non-coding RNA from Syngnathoides biaculeatus (alligator pipefish), 1592 nucleotides. RefSeq lists it as uncharacterized. The record is from RefSeq and is a predicted model, not a curated record. Lineage: Eukaryota; Metazoa; Chordata; Actinopteri; Syngnathiformes; Syngnathidae. The transcript has 3 exons.